Molecule: long non-coding RNA, 1686 nt
Organism: Trifolium pratense (red clover)
Lineage: Eukaryota; Viridiplantae; Streptophyta; Magnoliopsida; Fabales; Fabaceae
Exons: 7
Source: RefSeq, a predicted model, not a curated record
AAAUUUUUGGCUCUCAGUCACUUAAUACCAAAAAAUAAAAACAUACACAAAAAAAGUGAAAAAACACAUUUCAUUGAGAAAUCCCUAAAUCCCAAAACACUGUCUUCAUCGUUCCCGCCGCCACCACACUCACACUCCGGCGCAACUUUCUUCAUCGUUCCCUUCAAGAGAAGUGAAUGAGUUCAUCGUUCUCUCCAAUCGUUCUCUUAAGGUAUCAAAACUCACUCUCUCCAAUCUCUUUACUGUUCCCGUCGAGAGAAGUAAGAUCUGUCGUUCUUCCAAAACUCGACUGCUCUGUCUAUCUAACAUCCACCUCCAUAACCAAGAAUCAAGUCUCAAAUUUUAGUUUCAUUCCUCUUUUCUCUAUUUGGCAAAGAAUCUCCACAAACCUAAACCCCAAUUCCGAAAUUUUCCCAAUUCCUCCAUUAUUAGUUCAUGCAUGUACGAAUUAAGGCUUCAAACUCUCAUUUCAUACCAAAAGGAAAGUCAAGAAUCCUUUUUCACGGCUUGUAUUCAUGAGUUUUACUAUGGGUUGGAGCAUUUCAAGUAUUGGAGGUAAUCUAGGAUUUUCCCGACGGGUUUUACUCGCUCAAGCCGCACAAACGGGUAACUGAAGCUUGAAGUUUCGUUUUCCUUUUAAGUUCCAGAAGUUCCCUUGACACAUGAGGUUGGAAGUUUGGAUUGAAAAGAAUUAUAAGACGAGAUUCAAUUGGAGCACUAGAAUAGAUUGGAGAACAAGCUUUUGAUGUAGACUAUGUUGUGGUUGUAAUAAUCAAGUGUUGAGAGAGCUACAAUUACAGAGAUAAGCAGAUUAAACGAGUCAGGGGUAGGGAAUCCUCUUAUGGAGUUAAAUAUGUUCUCAAUUCAAGAGCAGAGUUCUUAUGGUUCCAUGGACUGAUUUCAAAUUCUGCUUUCAAAUGUUAAGGUGUGUACAUUACUUUGUAAUCGUUUAACAUAACUUUCAUGUUUAUUAAACUUUAUUGUGAGAAUCCUUUAUUUACAAAUGGUGAGAUAGUACUAAUUUCCCAGUCUAUCAUAAUUGUUAAAUGACAAAAGUCAAAUAGUUUUAUUAAUUGCAGAGUAUAUGGCUGUCCCAUUUUAUAUCAAGCAUACUUUUGUUAAUUUUGUUCUACCAUCAAAGAAGAAUUUUGCAGGGUAUAUGUAGUGGUUUACUUUCUUCAUUCCCAACAUGAAUUCUAUUAUAGGGUAAAUAUUAACUUUGAGUUGUUUUGGACCUUAAUUUUAAUGUGAAGGAUGAGAAGCCAACCAACUGGUAGUUUGCAGAAUCUGUUCAGAUGAAGGGGAAACCAAUCACACAUAACACAAAUUGCUAUGUUCUGUUUCUAAAGUCUGAAUGCGAACCCUCUGCGAGACCACCGUGAGACCAUGCAAAAGUUGUUUGCUACCACACCAUCACUAUUUUCAAUCAAUGGCUCCAGUUGUAGUGGGAGAUGUGAUUCCAGACGGAGCUUAAUUUUGUUGCCCUUAUUUGUUGUCAUUUGUGUAACCGAAUAAGAAAAGUCAAGAGAUGGUAGCACUAAUCAAGGAUUAUGAAGCAACAUCAUGUACCAGGGAAUGUUUAGAUAUUUUAAGAACUUAUUUUGCCAUAAUGUUUUGUAUGUUUAACCACUAUACUAAUGUUUAUGUUUUAGUUUUUCAAUGUUUGAACUACAUUGAUUUUUUUUC